GACGAACGCUGGCGGCGUGCUUAACACAUGCAAGUCGAACGGAAAGGCCCUGCUUUUGUGGGGUGCUCGAGUGGCGAACGGGUGAGUAACACGUGAGUAACCUGCCCUUGACUUUGGGAUAACUUCAGGAAACUGGGGCUAAUACCGGAUAGGAGCUCCUGCUGCAUGGUGGGGGUUGGAAAGUUUCGGCGGUUGGGGAUGGACUCGCGGCUUAUCAGCUUGUUGGUGGGGUAGUGGCUUACCAAGGCUUUGACGGGUAGCCGGCCUGAGAAGGUGACCGGCCACAUUGGGACUGAGAUACGGCCCAGACUCCUACGGGAGGCAGCAGUGGGGAAGAUUGCACAAUGGGCGGAAGCAUGAUGCAGCAACGCCGCGUGCGGGAUGACGGCCUUCGGGUUGUAAACCGCUUUCGCCUGUGACGAAGCGUGAGUGACGGUAAUGGGUAAAGAAGCACCGGCUAACUACGUG
RNAcentral lists this ribosomal RNA (468 nucleotides) under uncultured bacterium. RNAcentral's name for it is "partial 16S ribosomal RNA". It matches the Rfam family "Bacterial small subunit ribosomal RNA", at positions 28 to 507 of the family's 1533-position model. The record is from RNAcentral.